UACGUAGGUGGCAAGCGUUGUCCGGAUUUAUUGGGUUUAAAGGGUGCGUAGGCGGCCCUGUAAGUCAGUGCUGAAAUAUCCCGGCUUAACCGGGAGGGUGGCAUUGAUACUGCGGGGCUAGAGUACAGAUGAGGUAGGCGGAAUUGACGGUGUAGCGGUGAAAUGCUUAGAUAUCGUCAAGAACACCUAUAGCGAAGGCAGGUCUCUGGGCCACUACUGACGCUGAGAAGCGAAAGCAUGGGGAGCGAACAGG
This 253-nucleotide ribosomal RNA is filed under the name uncultured bacterium. RNAcentral describes it as "partial 16S ribosomal RNA". It matches the Rfam family "Bacterial small subunit ribosomal RNA", at positions 524 to 776 of the family's 1533-position model. The record is from RNAcentral.